RNAcentral lists this ribosomal RNA (253 nucleotides) under uncultured bacterium. RNAcentral's name for it is "partial 16S ribosomal RNA". It matches the Rfam family "Bacterial small subunit ribosomal RNA", at positions 524 to 776 of the family's 1533-position model. The record is from RNAcentral.
UACGUAGGGGGCAAGCGUUGUCCGGAUUUAUUGGGCGUAAAGCGCGCGUAGGCGGCGCGGUAUGUCGUGCGUGAAAUCUCCCGGCUUAACUGGGAGGGGCCGUGCGAAACUGCCGGGCUUGAGGUCGGAAGGGGAAAGUGGAAUUCCGGGUGUAGUGGUGGAAUACGUAGAUAUCCGGAGGAACACCAGCGGCGAAGGCGGCAUCCUGGACCGGCAUUGACGCUGAGGCGCGAAAGCCAGGGGAGCAAACGGG